UACGGAGGGGGCUAGCGUUGUUCGGAAUUACUGGGCGUAAAGCGCGCGUAGGCGGACCUGCAAGUCGAGGGUGAAAGCCCGAGGCUCAACCUCGAGACGCCGAUGGAAACCAUGUGGCUAGAGUCCGGAAGAGGAGAGUGGAAUUCCUGGUGUAGCGGUGAAAUGCGCAGAUAUCAGGAAGAACACCCGUGGCUAAGGCGGCUCUCUAGUACGGUACUGACGCUGAGACGCGAAAGCGUGGGGAGCGAACAGG
This 253-nucleotide ribosomal RNA is filed under the name uncultured bacterium. RNAcentral describes it as "partial 16S ribosomal RNA". It matches the Rfam family "Bacterial small subunit ribosomal RNA", at positions 524 to 776 of the family's 1533-position model. The record is from RNAcentral.